AUUGAACGCUGGCGGCAGGCUUAACACACGCAAGUCGAGCGGGGGAAGGUAGCUUGCUACUGGACCUAGCGGCGGACGGGUGAGUAAUGCUUAGGAAUCUGCCUAUUAGUGGGGGACAACAUCUCGAAAGGGAUGCUAAUACCGCAUACGUCCUACGGGAGAAAGCAGGGGAUCUUCGGACCUUGCGCUAAUAGAUGAGCCUAAGUCGGAUUAGCUAGUUGGUGGGGUAAAGGCCUACCAAGGCGACGAUCUGUAGCGGGUCUGAGAGGAUGAGCCGCCAAACUGGGACUGAGACACGGCCCAGACUCCUACGGGAGGCAGCAGUGGGGAAUAUUGGACAAUGGGGGGAACCCUGAUCCAGCCAUGCCGCGUGUGUGAAGAAGGCCUUAUGGUUGUAAAGCACUUUAAGCGAGGAGGAGGCUACUUUAGUUAAUACCUAGAGAUAGUGGACGUUACUCGCAGAAUAAGCACCGGCUAACUCUGUGCCAGCAGCCGCCGUAA
Molecule: ribosomal RNA, 501 nt
Filed under: uncultured bacterium
Lineage: Bacteria
Description: partial 16S ribosomal RNA
Rfam family: Bacterial small subunit ribosomal RNA
Source: RNAcentral